GAUGAACGCUGGCGGCGUGCCUAAUACAUGCAAGUCGAGCGAACGGACGAGAAGCUUGCUUCUCUGAUGUUAGCGGCGGACGGGUGAGUAACACGUGGAUAACCUACCUAUAAGACUGGGAUAACUUCGGGAAACCGGAGCUAAUACCGGAUAAUAUUUUGAACCGCAUGGUUCAAAAGUGAAAGACGGUCUUGCUGUCACUUAUAGAUGGAUCCGCGCUGCAUUAGCUAGUUGGUAAGGUAACGGCUUACCAAGGCAACGAUGCAUAGCCGACCUGAGAGGGUGAUCGGCCACACUGGAACUGAGACACGGUCCAGACUCCUACGGGAGGCAGCAGUAGGGAAUCUUCCGCAAUGGGCGAAAGCCUGACGGAGCAACGCCGCGUGAGUGAUGAAGGUCUUCGGAUCGUAAAACUCUGUUAUUAGGGAAGAACAUAUGUGUAAGUAACUGUGCACAUCUUGACGGUACCUAAUCAGAAAGCCACGGCUAUCUACGU
Molecule: ribosomal RNA, 496 nt
Filed under: uncultured bacterium
Lineage: Bacteria
Description: partial 16S ribosomal RNA
Rfam family: Bacterial small subunit ribosomal RNA
Source: RNAcentral